GAUCUUCUUCGGAAGAGAGCGGCGGACGGGUGAGUAACGCGUGGGUAACCUGCCUCAUACACAUGGAUAACAUACCGAAAGGUAUGCUAAUACAAGAUGAUAUAAGAGAUUCGCAUGGAUUUCUUAUCAAAGCUCCGGCGGUAUGAGAUGGACCCGCGUCUGAUUAGCUAGUUGGUAAGGUAACGGCUUACCAAGGCGACGAUCAGUAGCCGACCUGAGAGGGUGAUCGGCCACAUUGGAACUGAGACACGGUCCAAACUCCUACGGGAGGCAGCAGUGGGGAAUAUUGCACAAUGGGCGAAAGCCUGAUGCAGCAACGCCGCGUGAGCGAUGAAGGCCUUCGGGUCGUAAAGCCCUGUCCUCAAGGAAGAUAAUGACGGUACUUGAGGAGGAAGCCCCGGCUAACUACGUGCCAGCAGCCGCGGUAAUACGUAGGGGGCUAGCGUUAUCCGGAUUUACUGGGCGUAAAGGGUGCGUAGGUGGU
This 484-nucleotide ribosomal RNA is filed under the name uncultured bacterium. Its description in RNAcentral is "bacterial SSU rRNA". It matches the Rfam family "Bacterial small subunit ribosomal RNA", at positions 69 to 579 of the family's 1533-position model. The record is from RNAcentral.